UGUGUGUGAAUUCUGGACACUUUAGAGUUGGUCUACACGUAAUAUGAGUCAAUGAUUCGGAAACCUGGUAGACCAUGUUUACAAAACAAGUAGGUUUAUGUUCGUAAACAGGUAGACCAUUUUGUCUCACAAAAAAAGUAGACCCGUACUCGUAAAUAAGUAGACCAAGCUUCCUAAACAGGUAGACCUCUCAAGAAUUCUUUAAGUGUGUGUGAAUUCUGGACUCUUUAGAAUUGGUCUACUCGUACUGUGAGACAAUGAUUCGAAAACUUGGAAGACCAUGUUUACAAAACAGGUAGGUUUGUGUUCGUAAACAGGUAGACCAUUUUGUCUCACAAAAAAAGUAGACCCGUACUCGUAAAUAAACAGACCAGGCUUUGUAAACAGGUAGACUUCUUAAGAAUUCUUCAAGUGUGUGAAUUCUGGACUCUUUAGAGUUGGUCUAAUUGUAGUGUGAGACAAUGAUUCGAAAACUUGGUAGACCAUGUUUACAAAACAGGUAGGUUUGUAUUCGUAAACAGGUAAACCAUUUUGUCUCACAAAAAAAGUAGACCAUUUCUCAUAAAUAAGCAGACCAGGCUUUGUAAACAGGUAGACCUUUCAAGAAUUCUUCAAGUGUGUGUGAAUUUUGGACACUUUAGAGUUGGUCUACACGUAGUAUUAGUCAAUGAUUCGGAAACCUGGUAGACCAUGUUUACAAAACAUGUAGGUUAGUGUUCGUAAACAGGUAGACCAUUUUGUCUCACAAAAAAAGUAGACUUGUACUCGUAAAUAAGCGGAUCAGGCUUCAGAAACAGGUAGACCUCUCAAGAAUUCUUCAAGUGUGUGUGAAUUCUGGACUCUUUAGAGUUGGUCUACUCGUAGUGUGAGACAAUGAUUCGAACAGCUUGUACACCAUGUUCACAAAACAGGUAGGUUAGUCUUCGUAAACAAGUAGACCAUUUUGAUCUCGUUCUCUUUUAAUCUUGACCGUUGAUUCCUUCUUUGAAAACCCAACCAAGGUCAACUGACCCAAGUCGGGUCAAGCACUCUUCUCUCGCGUACGAUGAGAGCUGAGAAGCUCUCCGUCCCCGGCCGUCUUCUCCGACGCCGCCCGGUCGACUCUGGCCACCAUUCUCCACAAAACCACCACCAAAUUUCUUCUCUCUUUCCCCUCUACAUAACCCAGCCCGUGAAUCGCACAUACUGAUUCAAAGACAAAUCAACGACGAGAAGCUCCGACUGUGUUCGUUUGUUUCCGCCUUCUCCGGUGAUGACUUGGCCUAGAACUGGCAUAUUCGAACUUUUCCCUUCAUUCUUUGCACACUAGUGCCCUUAAUCCCUCGAAUCUUUUACAAAUCUUAAUAACCCCUUUACUGUCGAAUUUGAGUUUUCCGACGACCUGCUACGGUGGAUGCCGACGAGACUUUCUAGCGUCCUCUACUUCUUCCGAUGACCUAGGUCGACGUCAGAGGUGUUAAGCAGUGGUAAGUGACUUUGUAGCUACUGAGCAGGGUUGCUGUGUUUUCCGGUGUGUUUUUGUGAGAGAGAGAGAGAGAGAGAGAGAGAGAGAGAGAGAGAGAGAGAGAGAGAGAGAGAGAGAGA
RNAcentral lists this long non-coding RNA (1584 nucleotides) under Fragaria vesca (wild strawberry). RNAcentral's name for it is "long non-coding RNA (FVES_LNC002687)". The record is from RNAcentral. Lineage: Eukaryota; Viridiplantae; Streptophyta; Magnoliopsida; Rosales; Rosaceae.